This 750-nucleotide ribosomal RNA is filed under the name uncultured Clostridium sp. RNAcentral's name for it is "bacterial SSU rRNA". It matches the Rfam family "Bacterial small subunit ribosomal RNA", at positions 28 to 774 of the family's 1533-position model. Lineage: Bacteria; Bacillati; Bacillota; Clostridia; Eubacteriales; Clostridiaceae. The record is from RNAcentral.
GAUGAACGCUGGCGGCGUGCCUAAUACAUGCAAGUCGAACGCUUCGAUUUAUCGAAGAGUGGCGAACGGAUGAGUAAUACAUAAGUAACCUGCCCUUAACAGGGGGAUAACUACUAGAAAUGGUAGCUAAGACCGCAUAGGUGGAUUGAUCGCAUGAUCGAUUCAUUAAAAGACCUUUCAAGGUCUGGAUAAGGAUGGACUUAUGUCGCAUUAGCUAGUUGGUAAGGUAACGGCUUACCAAGGCGACGAUGCGUAGCCGGCCUGAGAGGGUGAACGGCCACAUUGGGACUGAGACACGGCCCAAACUCCUACGGGAGGCAGCAGUAGGGAAUUUUCGGCAAUGGGGGAAACCCUGACCGAGCAACGCCGCGUGAAGGAAGAAGGAAUUCGUUUCGUAAACUUCUGUUAUAAAGGAAGAAAGAUGAUAUCAGGAAAUGGAUGUCAAGUGACGGUACUUUAUGAGAAAGCCACGGCUAACUACGUGCCAGCAGCCGCGGUAAUACGUAGGUGGCAAGCGUUAUCCGGAAUUAUUGGGCGUAAAGAGGGAGCAGGCGGUAACAAAGGUCUGUGGUGAAAGCCUGAAGCUUAACUUCAGUAAGCCAUAGAAACCAGGUAACUAGAGUGCAAGAGAGGAUCGUGGAAUUCCAUGUGUAGCGGUGAAAUGCGUAGAUAUAUGGAGGAACACCGAUGGCGAAAGCAGCUUACUGGGCCGGAAUUGACGCUGAGGCACGAAAGCGUGGGGAGCAAACA